Molecule: ribosomal RNA, 886 nt
Filed under: uncultured bacterium
Lineage: Bacteria
Description: bacterial SSU rRNA
Rfam family: Bacterial small subunit ribosomal RNA
Source: RNAcentral
AGAGCGAACGUUAGCGGCGGGCCUAACACAUGCAAGUCGAACGAGAACGCUCCUUCGGGAGUUAUUAAAGUGGCGCACGGGUGAGGAACGCGUAGGUAAUCUACCCUUUGGCGGGGGACAACAUUCCGAAAGGAAUGCUAAUACCGCGUAAGACCACACUCACUACGGUGAGAGCGGUUAAAGGUGCCUCAAAGCACCACCAGAGGAUGAGCCUGCGUCCCAUCAGCUUGUUGGUAAGGUAAUGGCUUACCAAGGCGAAGACGGGUAGCUGGUCUGAGAGGAUGAUCAGCCACACUGGCACUGGAACACGGGCCAGACUCCUACGGGAGGCAGCAGUGAGGAAUAUUGGGCAAUGGGCGAAAGCCUGACCCAGCCACGCCGCGUGUGUGAUGAAGGCCUUCGGGUCGUAAAGCACUGUGGGGAGAGACGAAAAAGCGCAUCAGGAAAUGGUUGCGCCUUGACGGUACCUCCUUAGCAAGCACCGGCUAACUCUGUGCCAGCAGCCGCGGUAAUACAGAGGGUGCGAACGUUGCUCGGAUUUACUGGGCGUAAAGCGCGUGUAGGCGGACUCGCAAGUCGGUUGUGAAAUCCCUGGGCUCAACCUAGGAACUGCAUCCGAAACUGCUUGUCUUGAGUAAUGGAGAGGGUGGCGGAAUUCCCGGUGUAGAGGUGAAAUUCGUAGAUAUCGGGAGGAACAUCAGUGGCGAAGGCGGCCACCUGGACAUUUACUGACGCUGAGACGCGAAAGCGUGGGGAGCAAACAGGAUUAGAUACCCUGGUAGUCCACGCCGUAAACGAUGAGAACUAGGUGCAGCGGAUAUUGACCUCUGCUGUGCCGUAGCUAACGCGUUAAGUUCUCCGCCUGGGGAGUACGGCCGCAAGGCUA